UGAACGCUGGCGGCGUGCUUAACACAUGCAAGUCGAACGAAGCUAAGGGAGCUUGCUCCCAAAGCUUAGUGGCGGACGGGUGAGUAACGCGUGGGUAACCUGCCCUAUAGAGGGGGAUAACGUUCGGAAACGAACGCUAAUACCGCAUAAACCAUAAAGAGCUGCAUGGCUCUGAUGGCAAAGAUUUAUCGCUAUAGGAUGGACCUGCGUUGGAUUAGCUAGUUGGUGAGAUAACAGCUCACCAAGGCGACGAUCCAUAGCCGGCCUGAGAGGGUGAACGGCCACAUUGGGACUGAGACACGGCCCAAACUCCUACGGGAGGCAGCAGUGGGGAAUAUUGCACAAUGGGCGCAAGCCUGAUGCAGCGACGCCGCGUGAAGGAAGAAGGUCUUCGGAUUGUAAACUUCUAUCAGCAGGGAAGAAUAAAUGACGGUACCUGACUAAGAAGCCCCGGCUAACUACGUGCCAGCCGCCGC
RNAcentral lists this ribosomal RNA (476 nucleotides) under uncultured bacterium. Its description in RNAcentral is "bacterial SSU rRNA". It matches the Rfam family "Bacterial small subunit ribosomal RNA", at positions 30 to 518 of the family's 1533-position model. The record is from RNAcentral.